Lonchura striata (white-rumped munia) is the source of this 2039-nucleotide non-coding RNA. The record is from RefSeq and is a predicted model, not a curated record. Lineage: Eukaryota; Metazoa; Chordata; Aves; Passeriformes; Estrildidae.
CCUGGAGCCUCUUCCAGUGCCUAAAGUGGCUACGAAAGAGCUGGAGAGGGACUUUUCAGAAGUGACGGGGCAAGAGGAAAUGGCUUCCAGCUGCCAGAGGGCUGAGCCUAGAUUUGGGUGAGUCACGUGCCUGCAGGUUCUGAGGCUUCCUGGAAGCUCCAGCUGCUGCAAGACUUGGGAUGAACUGCAGGAGUGUGCAGUGCUGCUGGUACAAGGAGGUCUUUUCAUUCAGCAUCCUUUUGGCUCACCGACUUUGGAGUUGCACCUUUUCUCUUACGUUUAAGAGUUCCAGUUUGUGGUGAUAUUUAAGAAAUAAAGCUGAACUCGGCCAAAACACAGAAGAAUUGAAGAAGCCCACUCAUCAGAAGGGAAGGAUAUAGCCUGACAAGUCUACAGAGUAAGGAAGUUGCAUUCAGGUAGAAGAAUAUUUGAUGUUGGAAGAGGUCUCUGGAGAUCAUCUCAUCCAACAUCCCUGCUCAGAGGAGGGUAAAUUGGAGCAGGUUGCCCAGGAUCGUGUCCAGAUACUGCCUGUCUCUUUCACUGGACACCAUGGAGAAGAGUCUGGCCUUGUCCUUUCCUCCUCCAAUCCAUUUAUAAAAAUAGAGACUGAGAACAUCAAACCCUGCCACAGCCUCCAGGUGACAUAGUACUGUUCCUGCAACUGCUGCUCUUCAGCCAAGGUGACCCCCAGUUGCAGAGGAUGACUGAAGGAAUGCAAAUUAAUCGAAACAAGCUAUACUGCAGGUGGCUUAAUGUGCCCAUAGGCUCCUUUUUGAGGAGUGGGAGCUAAUAAAGUUUGUGUGAAAACCAAGAGGAGACGCCCUGCUCCCUUUGGGAUCACGCCGUGCUGCUCGGUACGGACAGUCGGGCACAGAACAUUGGCAUGGAACGUGCCCCUGGAACUGGAGCUACUUGGCCUGCUAAAGACAAAAAAAGCGAACGGCAGGAGAACUGAAAUGAGAUGUGGACGCAGAAGAAGCAAACAGCAGCACAGGGCUGGGAGAGCAGCUUUCAAAGGCUGAGUCUGCAGUUGGGGGAAUGAAGGUGCCAAAACAUCAUGACCAUUUGUGAUUCCCUUCAUUGGUGUACACCUGGACAUCCUCUACCAUUUAAAAGAAUCUGCUGAAGUACUCCCAAACCAUGACACUAAGAAUGCAAGAAGUGAGGAGAUGCAAGAAGGCUCUCGCUGGAGGUUCAAAGAGCUGCUCAUGUAAAGGAUCAAUAGAUCCAGCACUGCAUUUAGUGUCAUACUAAAUGCUGGACCAGGCAAUUAUUUCGAUUCAUCACGGUGGAACAGCUUGCAGGAAGAUGCACAUCUGCAGUGGUGAUUCCAGGUGUGCUGUGACAUUUCACCCUGGACAAGUUGCAAGUUCUCCAGUUGUAACUCUGCAAAGCUGUGCUUAAUCUGCCUGGACUAAUGAAACCACCUGGUGGGAAAACAUCAGCUUCAUCUGAAGAUCUGUGAAAAGCUGAAGCACAGAGCCUGGGGCCAGGCUCUCCACAGCUUCCAGUUGCCACCAGGACUCCCAAGCAUCCUGUUCUUGAUCUUCCAGAACUGAAAGCCUGGGAGGGCUGGCUGGAAGAAUCCUGCCUUUGCUGAUCUCCAGCAGCCAGGGUGGCUCUGCUGGAUCCUCCGGGGGAUGUGCUCUGCACGGGGGCAGGAGUGGGACUGGCACUGCAGGGCUGGGCUGCUGGCAUCACCCAGCCAGAAGAGGAACGAGCUGCCAAGGGCAGCACCUGCAGUCCUGACUGCUCUGGGAUUUCCUUGGCUCUUUGCUGUAUGCAACGGAGGUGAUGUCUGGGUUCCUGAGGAGCAGAACUGGCUCUUCAGCCACCUAGGAUGAAAACCUGUCCCUGCUAGGAGUUCUUGGAACACCUGAACGAGUGAAGCUCACCUGCCAGAGCUGUCUGGAUGCUGCAGAUGAGCAAAGUUUUCCUGGGAAGUUCUCCCCCAGAGAAAAAAGGCAGGAGAGAGGGAUGCUCUCCCUCCAGAGCAAAGGUAUGGGAGCCUUUUUCUGGGAGGCCAGACGAAGCUGGCU